UGGGGGAUAUUGCACAAUGGGGGAAACCCUGAUGCAGCGACGCCGCGUGGAGGAAGAAGGUUUUCGGAUUGUAAACUCCUGUCGUUAGGGACGAUAAUGACGGUACCUAACAAGAAAGCACCGGCUAACUACGUGCCAGCAGCCGCGGUAAAACGUAGGGUGCAAGCGUUGUCCGGAAUUACUGGGUGUAAAGGGAGCGCAGGCGGACCGGCAAGUUGGAAGUGAAAUCCAUGGGCUCAACCCGUGAAUUGCUUUCAAAACUGCUGGCCUUGAGUAGUGCAGAGGUAGGUGGAAUUCCCGGUGUAGCGGUGGAAUGCGUAGAUAUCGGGAGGAACACCAGUGGCGAAGGCGACCUACUGGGCACCAACUGACGCUGAGGCUCGAAAGCAUGGGUAGCAAACAGGAUUAGAUACCCUGGUAGUCCAUGCCGUAAACGAUGAUUACUAGGUGUUGGAGGAUUGACCCCUUCAGUGCCGCAGUUAACACAAUAAGUAAUCCACCUGGGGAGUACGACCGCAAGGUUGAAACUCAAAGGAAUUGACGGGGGCCCGCACAAGCAGUGGAGUAUGUGGUUUAAUUCGAAGCAACGCGAAGAACCUUACCAAGUCUUGACAUCCCUUGACGAUGCUGGAAACAGCAUUUCUCUUCGGAGCAAGGAGACAGGUGGUGCAUGGUUGUCGUCAGCUCGUGUCGUGAGAUGUUGGGUUAAGUCCCGCAACGAGCGCAACCCUUAUGGUCAGUUACUACGCAAGAGGACUCUGGCCAGACUGCCGUUGACAAAACGGAGGAAGGUGGGGAUGACGUCAAAUCAUCAUGCCCUUUAUGACUUGGGCUACACACGUACUACAAUGGCGUUAAACAAAGAGAAGCAAGACCGCGAGGUGGAGCAAAACUCAGAAACAACGUCCCAGUUCGGACUGCAGGCUGCAACUCGCCUGCACGAAGUCGGAAUUGCUAGUAAUCGUGGAUCAGCAUGCCACGGUGAAUACGUUCCC
Molecule: ribosomal RNA, 995 nt
Filed under: uncultured bacterium
Lineage: Bacteria
Description: bacterial SSU rRNA
Rfam family: Bacterial small subunit ribosomal RNA
Source: RNAcentral